AUUGAACGCUGGCGGCAUGCUUUACACAUGCAAGUCGAACGGUAACAGGCCGCGAGGUGCUGACGAGUGGCGAACGGGGGAGUAAUGCAUCGGAACGUGCCCAGACGUGGGGGAUAACUACUCGAAAGAGUAGCUAAUACCGCAUACGAUCUAAGGAUGAAAGCGGGGAACGGAAGGCCUCGCGCGAAUGGAGCGGGCGAUGUCAGAUUAGGUAGUUGGUGGGGUAAAGGCUCACCAAGCCAACGAUCUGUAGCUGGUCUGAGAGGACGACCAGCCACACUGGAACUGAGACACGGCCCAGACUCCUACGGGAGGCAGCAGUGGGGAAUUUUGGACAAUGGGCGCAAGCCUGAUCCAGCAAUGCCGCGUGCAGGAAGAAGGCCUUCGGGUUGUAAACUGCUUUUGUACGGAACGAAACGGCUCUGGUUAAUACCCGGGGCUAAUGACGGCACCGUAAGAAUAAGCACCGGCUAACUACGUG
RNAcentral lists this ribosomal RNA (481 nucleotides) under uncultured bacterium. Its description in RNAcentral is "partial 16S ribosomal RNA". It matches the Rfam family "Bacterial small subunit ribosomal RNA", at positions 29 to 507 of the family's 1533-position model. The record is from RNAcentral.